GACGAACGCUGGCGGCGUGCUUAACACAUGCAAGUCGAACGGAAAGGCCCUGCUUUUGUGGGGUGCUCGAGUGGCGAACGGGUGAGUAACACGUGAGUAACCUGCCCUUGACUUUGGGAUAACUUCAGGAAACUGGGGCUAAUACCGGAUAGGAGCUCCUGCUGCAUGGUGGGGGUUGGAAAGUUUCGGCGGUUGGGGAUGGACUCGCGGCUUAUCAGCUCGUUGGUGGGGUAGUGGCUUACCAAGGCUUUGACGGGUAGCCGGCCUGAGAGGGUGACCGGCCACAUUGGGACUGAGCUACGGCCCAGACUCCUACGGGAGGCAGCAGUGGGGAAUAUUGCACAAUGGGCGGAAGCCUGAUGCAGCAACGCCGCGUGCGGGAUGACGGCCUUCGGGUUGUAAACCGCUUUCGCCUGUGACGAAGCGUGAGUGACGGUAAUGGGUAAAGAAGCACCGGCUAACUACGUG
RNAcentral lists this ribosomal RNA (468 nucleotides) under uncultured bacterium. RNAcentral describes it as "partial 16S ribosomal RNA". It matches the Rfam family "Bacterial small subunit ribosomal RNA", at positions 28 to 507 of the family's 1533-position model. The record is from RNAcentral.